AAAAACUUUUUUUUAGAACAUUUUGCAAAUUUAUUAAAAAUAAGACACUCAAAUGUUGCAUAUACAUAAGUAUUCACACCCUUUACUCAAUACUUGGUCGAAGCACCUUUGGCAGCGAUUACAGCCUCCAGUCUUCUUGGAUAUGAUGCAACAAGCAUGGCACACCUGGAUUUGGGGAGUUUUUCCCCAUUCUUCCUUGCACAUCCUCUCAAGCUUAGUGAGGUUGGAUGGGCAGCGUCGGUGCACAGCUACUUUCAGGUCUUUCCAAAGAUGUUCAAUUGGGUUCAAGUCUGGGCUCUGGCUGGGCCACUCAAGGACAUUCAGAGACUUGUCCUGAAGCCACUCCUUUGUCUUCUUGGCCGUGUGUCAUGCUGGAAGAUGAAGCAUCGCCCCCCAGAUCCUGACAAGUCUCCCAGUUCCUACCGCUGAAAAACAUCCCCACAGCAUGAUGCUACCACCACCAUGCUUCACUGUAGGGAUGGAAUUGGCAAGGUGGUGAGCGGUGCCUGGUUUCCUCCAGAAAUGACACUUGGCUUUCAGGCCAAAGAUUUCGAUCUUCGUUUCAUCAGACCAGAGAAUUUUGUUUCUCCUGGUCUGUGAGUCCUUCAGGUGCCUUCUAGCAAAGUCUAAGUGGGCGGUCAUGUGCUUUUUACUGAGGAGUAGCUUCUGUCUGGCCACUCUGCCAUAAAUGACUGACUGGUGGAAUGCUGCAGAGAUGGUGGUCCUUCUGUAGGGUUCUCCCAUCUCCUCAGUGGAACGCUGGAGCUCUGUCAGAGUGGCCAUCGGGUUCUUGGUCACCUCCCUGACCAAGGCCCUUCUCCCCCGCUUGCUCAUUUUGGCUGGGUGGCCAGCUCUAGGAAGAGUCCUGGUGGUUCCAAACGUCUUCCAUUUCUUAAUGAUGGAGACCACUGUGCUUGGGAUCUUACAUGUAGCAGAUAUGUUUCUGUAAACUUCUCCAGAUCUGUGCGCCGAUACAACCCUGUUUCGGACCUCUACAGAAUAUUCUUUCGACUUCAUGGCUUGGUUUGUGCUCUGACGUGCUCUGUCAGCUGUGGGAUCUUAUAUAGACAGGUGUGGCUUUCCAAAUCAUGUCCAAUCAGCUGAAUUUGCCAAUGGUGGACUGCAAUCAAGUUGGAGAAACAUUUCAAGGCUGACCAGUGGAAACAGGAUGCACCUGAGCUCAAUUUUGAGUUUUAUAGCAAAGGGUGUGAAUACUUAUAUAUGCAACAUUUGAGUGUCUUAUUUUUAAUAAAUUUGCAAAAUGUUCUAAAAAAAAGUUUUUUCGCUUUGUUAUUAUGAGUUAUUUUGUGUAGAAUUUUGGAAUAAGGCUGUAACCUAACAAAAUUUGGAAAAAAGGGAAGUGGUAUGAAAACUUUCCGGAUGCACUGUAAGCCCUUUUUUACUUUGUCUUAUGUUUCAUCAAUCAUUAAAGCAGAGUGCUCUCCUAGCUUCACCUCAUCACUUAUUUGGCCUCUUCUCAUACUUACCAUGAUGUCUGUCAAACCCUCCUCUGUUUGUUGAUUGCUUGUCUUUUCUGUGUUGCCUUUGUCUGAUCAUUUGACAUGCUGUAAAGCACAGUGACUCAAUUACUGCACACAUGUACUGUCUAUUUCCUUUAAUGUGCAUGGUCCAGUUGUGUGAGAAUUGUCAAGCCGCUCAUCAAUCGCUCCUCAAAUUAGUCAGAUUUCCUAGAUUUUUGUGCAGCACUUGAAUUAUAUUGGGCCAGUUUCUCAGCUCCCUUUUACCAGUUUCAACAUUACUGUUCCGUGUGCGUGCUUGGAAAACUCAAAGGUUCUGGGUAAUCUUGAUGGGUAUUUGUCUGAGCCCAUUAAGAGAUAUUCGUGAUUUGAUUUGUUACUAUGCUGCACUCUUUAAUGAUAAGCCCACACAGACAACAGUGCUGCCUGCAGCUUGAUGUUGUGGGCGAUCACAAGCCUAUUAAGCAACAUACUUACAGGGUUAGUCCCGCGAAGCAUGCUGCCAUGCAGAGGGUGGUGAAGUAUCUUAUUGAAAAUGGUUUAGUUGUGCCCAGCUCCAGUCUGUGGAGUUCUCCCUGUCUCCUUGUCCCAAAAUCAGACCAAACUCCCCAAUUUUGUAUGGACUUUCGUAAGGUUAACACUGUGACAAAACUUGAUUCCUUCUCUCCUCCACAUACAGAUGACUGAGACAUAUUUGGCUGAACCUACUGUAUCCAUGCAAAGUUAGAGCUCCUGAAAGGGUACUGGCAGGUUCCUUUAACACCAUGUACAUCUGAGGUCUCUGCUUUUGUCACGCCAGAUCAUUUUCUCCAGAGGUUGAUGAUCACUCUCCUUUGUGGUGUGAAGAACUGUGAAGCCUAUCUUGAUGACAUUGUAUGUUUUUCCUCCUCUUGGUCAGAGCACGUGGAAACGCUGAAAGAAGUUUUAAGCCGAUUGAUGGCUGCCCUUUUGACUCUUGAAUCUGGCCAAGUGUGACUGUAGUUAGGCUGUUGUCACGUACCUGGGUAAGCAGGUCGGCCAGGGUAUGGUGAGCCCUCUGUUGGCCAAAGUUCGGUGUUAUGACUGUGGUUCAUUUAAAUUAUUUGCUUCUUUCAUGUAGAAGAGAGCUCUUGUUUUCUCUCUCUCUGUGCUUCCUCGCUACAGGUGUGGCACAACCUAAUUAAACAAUGGCCAAGCACGCAUCAGCGGCUGACUGGAGGAGUGGAGUUGGGUGGUGGGCCACGAAGAGAGGAGAUGGCGGCAGUUUUAAAGAGAGGCCACUGCAGCGCAAACAGCAACCCUUGUCACAGCCUCUUGAAAUAAUUAAUGUACACCACCAAGAAAAAAAAUAGGCUUGUAAAAGAGAACAGUAACAUAUAAAAAGGACAGACCGCGACUCUCGAUGUAAAACAGGAUUUAAAUGAGCAGAAAUUGAUGAUUCAAAAAUAAAGCGAUGAAAUAAAAAAGGCUCUAGGUGCCGGCCAAAAGUAACAAGAGGGGCGGUUGUGUACAGAGCUAGCCACACAUUGGGCCAUGGGACCAGUUACCACCCCUAACUAAAACUACUUAACCCUUUGAUGCGUUUUGUAUCAUAUUUGAUACAAAUUUUGAUGGUACUUCUAUCAAAUCAAAAUGAUUAACAAAUUACAAAAAAAACCCCACCUGAAUACAGUCCGUUAAAUGGUAAAAAUGUCCUCUUUAUCAGUUUCCAAAAACAUCUAAUGUAUUAAACGAGAUAAAUAUAUUUUUUUAAUUUUAAGGACAUUUUGAUAUUUUGUUUUUCAGUAGUAAGUGAAAAAAAUAUUUCAGCUCUUAAAAAUGUGAAUUUUCUGGCCAUGGUUUCAGGCAUUAAAGGGCUAAAUAAAAAGAACUAACCUUCACAUUAUUUGAAUGGUUUCAUUGUACUAUGCUUCCAUUAUUCUAAUUUUGUAAUAAGAAAUUUUGUCAAAAAAGACUGUUAUUUCUUCUAAUAAUUAACAUAGUUGCUCACAAUGAACAGGCAAGAUAAAAGGUUUUUUUUAAAUUCCAAAAUUACUCAAAUUGUAACUACAGUACACAAGAGUUCUUGAUUCUAUGAAGA
This 3537-nucleotide long non-coding RNA is filed under the name Xyrichtys novacula (pearly razorfish). The record is from RNAcentral. Lineage: Eukaryota; Metazoa; Chordata; Actinopteri; Labriformes; Labridae.